Molecule: long non-coding RNA, 3132 nt
Organism: Rhododendron vialii
Lineage: Eukaryota; Viridiplantae; Streptophyta; Magnoliopsida; Ericales; Ericaceae
Exons: 7
Source: RefSeq, a predicted model, not a curated record
ACAAAGAAAUAAACCUCUCAACGGUAAAACCCUAUCUCUCUUCCCCGCCCGCCUCUCCACACUCUCAUCGGAUUGAAAGGGCUUCCACUCGAUUUCCUACCCCCCACCGGUCCGAUUCCACAAAAUUACCGAGAUGGCCAAUGUCACUUCGAGGGACCUUCAAGAGAUCGUCUCGAAGCUAUCCUCCGAUAAAGCUAAAACUCGCGAAGAAGGAUUUAAGUUGUUGAACACCUGGUUAGAAGGCAAAAGAUCCACUGGCUUUGUUAGAUACAUUGGACAGAAAACUGCAAUGCUUAAACCGAGUGAGAUACGUCAUUGUAAGAUCUGAUGCAGAUACUUUUGAAAUAUGUUCGUUUGGUGAGCCAAAUCAUGGCCUUUUCUCAUUACACUGCUCACUAAGUGUGUUACACUGGAGAUAUCCUCGAGCAAGCGGCGAUUGACAAAGUUAAUUUUUGCUAAAACUUUGUGCAUUGUUGUACAACUAGUGGAGCAUUCCAGCCUUUCAGGUUGUUAAACGAAGGCUACGCUUCUUAGUUAAUUUGAUCAUUUAAUUCUUUUGGGUUAAAUAAUUUGCUCAUUUGUUUGAAUCAUUGACCUCUAAAGAUGACUGUAAGGAUCCCUUUUCAAAAUUCAACUCGGUACAUUACAUCCUACAUCUUCCUCUAAAUCAUGAGCUGUCAUGAAUUUACUUAUUACCUUGGGCACAUUUGUCUUAUUGUCCUUAGAAAUGUUUUUUACUUCAACCAUAUAUCUCCUCAUUGAUUAAUUCAAUGGUACUACACGAAUAAAUGGACCACCUCAGACGGCAUUACCUCUGCUUUGAGUUGUUGCCAAGUCUGGUUUAUUCAUACUCCCUUUGUCCCAUUUUGUUUGCUCUCUCAGAAAGACUGCCAUUUUGACCUUAAAAAAAUUCAGUUCUUUCGGUAAUAGUAGUUUUUUGGAAUGUUUUUACACCUUUUGAAAGAUUUCAGUUCAUGCUUUUGAAUGCCAAAAUAAAAAAUAAAUUCUCCAAACUACUCUUGUUAAUUUUUUUUUUUUGAGGUCAAAAUGGCAUGAUUUUUUGGUAGGAAGAAAACAAAAUGGGACGGAGGGAGUACUUGGCAGCUGACAAGAUGAUUUAUAUUCUUGUGCCCAUUAUAUGAUCCUCAAUGGAAUAGAUUGGUCAAUGAUGAAAUAGCAGAUUCGAAAGCUUGAUCAUAGGAUGAAGUUUGUAUUGAGUUUCGAUUCGAAUUGUGAUAUAUGUAAAUUUUAGUCUGCCUCCACUGAGGAAUAAACUUAGAAGUUUGGACUUUGGACUUUGGACUUUGGAUUGUAUGUUUGUCCUUGGUUGGACCCUAGAAAUGGAAAAACACCACCCCAUUCAGUUGAAGGAUAAGUUGGCUUUGUUGCUUCUAUGUAAUUUUUACCAGAAACCAAAACAGAAGAAAUAUAUGAUUUCUUCACUGUAUUUUCUACGAAACAGAGUUGGGUUGCAACGGACAUGUUCCUCGGUGAAGUUAUUUGAUGCCAGUCAUUUAUGCCCUCAUUAUCCUCUCACCGGCAGGAAUUUGCAUCUGGUCUCUGUGGCGAAAUUGCUUUUCAACCAUAUCUGGGAUGUCUUAAAGGAUGUCCCCAGCUUUCAGCAUGAGUAUGGGAUUAUCCUCCGCCAUCUUUUGGUAGUUAGAGAUUAUUGAGUUCACAUGAGGGUGCGCGUUUAUUGCAGUUUGGUGAUUUUUCACAUAGAGAAGGUGCAGACAAACUUGACUGUGAAGAAUAGUACUCAAUCUAAUCCAAAGGAGGAUGUGUUUCGUUGCAUCCUGACUCUCCAUUCACUUCUUGAAAAUCCUCCUGGAGAUUUUCCAAGUAAUCUCUGAGAAGACAUUGUCAAGGGGAUUGUCACAAUUUUCUCUUUUGUGAGGAUGCACUUAUUCUAUAUGCUAGGUUACAAUUAAAUUUGACUAGGGGUGCUGCUGACGGCAGUGAAUUGGUGGAACAUCUUUUGGAUGUAGUUGGGAAGGAGCUCGAUCAAAAUAGUAUCUGCAGUACCAAUCUUGCCUGGAGUGACACAACCAAGGAUGAUAAGUGUGGAAAUUUAACAAGCUCACAAUGUGGCGUGGUGGAGCUUGAGGCCCUUGUCUUUUAUCUGGCAUGCCUCCAUACAACCAAAGCACCAUUAGCUGAAAAAUGAGCCAGGAAGGAGCAUGCUGCUGCCUACAUAAGAGAGGGGCUCAUGAAUGGAUGAUGGCUGUGGUAAGUUUGGAGCCAAAGGAUUCCAUCUUUUAUUCGCAUGUAUUUCAUGGUACGCGUACAUAUUCUCACUGACUUAGAAGGGACAUUUAUAGUUGGUCUGAAACUGAAUCUAUCACUGUGUUUGGUUUACAUAAAACUAAAUAUAACCUACAGUGGUAAGUUUCCAUCUUGAAAUCCUUGAACCAUUAAGUGUUCUAUUUAGUUUGUUGAACCGGUGCCUGAUUGAGUUGAGCUUACCUGAGCUUGAGUUCGGCUAGUGUUGUAAUCCAGAUCUUUCUUCGUCUCUUGCCCGUCUUUGCUCCUGGCCAACCAUGGUGAAGCUUCAUCACCUUGCAGGAAAAAAAUCCCAAGCCACAGAACAAUGCAUGAGAAUUACAACAUAUACACCCAUACUCUUGUGCAUGAAACACCAAGUGACCAUACUUACCUCAUCUGAAUCCUAUUAUCUACAUGGAUCUUGCCUUUGGCUGUGAGCCGGAAAAGAAUUGAAGAAUAAAGAAACCUUUUCAGGGGUAGAACUGUAGAAGCCCCCCAAAUGGGAGUGUUGAUCUUUAGCACUUCCACUCUGAUCUCGAAGUCAAAAACGUGUUACACCUCCACUUGUUGCCUUAUAAAAAAGACUUAACUUGCAAAGACACUGAAACCAUGUAGACUCCAUCUCAGUUCCCAGGUUCUCAACCUCUUCGAAAGAGUUAUGAACUCAUCCAUCUCUGAAUCCUAUAUGAACAUCUAUUUGGAGUAUGAUGUCCCCCCAUAUUGAUGCCUCUCUAAAUACACACCCCAUUGGACAUAAUAAUCUCUUGCAAGCUCCAGUCUGGCCGACCACUUCCGUUCUUGUCCUGUUUACCACUCCUAUUCUUUAUCACCACCAUGUUCCUCCACCAUAUCACCCUCUGACAAGAA